This 19-nucleotide microRNA is filed under the name Salicornia europaea (common glasswort). RNAcentral's name for it is "seu-miR11049". The record is from miRBase by way of RNAcentral. Lineage: Eukaryota; Viridiplantae; Streptophyta; Magnoliopsida; Caryophyllales; Amaranthaceae.
UAAGCUGAUAGUUGUGGCC